AACGCACGAGACCUGCGGACCUGCGGAAGGAUCAUUAAUGAGAAACUGCCCCUCGCGGGUAGAUCUCCCACCCUUUGUAAACUUACCUUUGUUGCUUUUGCAGGCCCGUCUCCGGACCGCCGGCUUCGGCUGGCCAGUGCCUGCCAGAGGAUUCUAAAACUCUGUCUGUCAGUGUUGUCUGAGUCUAUAUACAAUCGUUAAAACUUUCAACAACGGAUCUCUAGAUCGGAAGAGCACACG
Molecule: unclassified non-coding RNA, 240 nt
Filed under: soil metagenome
Description: partial contains 5.8S ribosomal RNA, internal transcribed spacer 2, and large subunit ribosomal RNA
Source: RNAcentral